GAUGAACGCUGACGGCGUGCCUAAUACAUGCAAGUCGAGCGAACGGACGAGAAGCUUGCUUCUCUGAUGUUAGCGGCGGACGGGUGAGUAACACGUGGAUAACCUACCUAUAAGACUGGGAUAACUUCGGGAAACCGGAGCUAAUACCGGAUAAUAUUUUGAACCGCAUGGUUCAAAAGUGAAAGACGGUCUUGCUGUCACUUAUAUAUGGAUCCGCGCUGCAUUAGCUAGUUGGUAAGGUAACGGCUUACCAAGGCAACGAUGCAUAGCCGACCUGAGAGGGUGAUCGGCCACACUGGAACUGAGACACGGUCCAGACUCCUACGGGAGGCAGCAGUAGGGAAUCUUCCGCAAUGGGCGAAAGCCUGACGGAGCAACGCCGCGUGAGUGAUGAAGGUCUUCGGAUCGUAAAACUCUGUUAUUAGGGAAGAACAUAUGUGUAAGUAACUGUGCACAUCUUGACGGUACCUAAUCAGAAAGCCACGGCUAACUACGUG
Molecule: ribosomal RNA, 497 nt
Filed under: uncultured bacterium
Lineage: Bacteria
Description: partial 16S ribosomal RNA
Rfam family: Bacterial small subunit ribosomal RNA
Source: RNAcentral